GCAAUCUACCUUUCACAGAGGGAUAGCCCAGAGAAAUUUGGAUUAAUACCUCAUAGUAUUAUGAAGUGGCAUCACUUUAUAAUUAAAGUCACAACGGUGAAAGAUGAGCAUGCGUCCCAUUAGCUAGUUGGUAAGGUAACGGCUUACCAAGGCUACGAUGGGUAGGGGUCCUGAGAGGGAGAUCC
This 185-nucleotide ribosomal RNA is filed under the name uncultured Bacteroidota bacterium. RNAcentral describes it as "uncultured Bacteroidetes bacterium partial 16S ribosomal RNA". It matches the Rfam family "Bacterial small subunit ribosomal RNA", at positions 121 to 306 of the family's 1533-position model. The record is from RNAcentral. Lineage: Bacteria; Pseudomonadati; Bacteroidota.